CGCAGGAGGUGAAGCACGCAUCGAGCUGGAUCGAUGUUCAAGCGACAAGUGCGGUUAAGAGUCAAAUGCUUCUAACCAGCAACACGAGUCGUGAUGAGGAGUGAAUUAAAAGUAGCGAAGGUGUGGUAGUCACACUGCCAAGAAAAGCUUCUAGCCAGAGAGAACAUACCCGUACCGCAAACCGACACAGGUAGUCGAGUGGAGAACACUAAGGUGAGCGAGAGAACUCUCGUUAAGGAACUCGGCAAAAUGACCCCGUAACUUCGGAAGAAGGGGUGCUGGCCAUGAGAGUGGUUAGCCGCAGUGAAUAGGCCCAAACAACUGUUUAUCAAAAACACAGGUCUCUGCAAAAUCGUAAGAUGACGUAUAGAGGCUGACACCUGCCCGGUGCUGGAAGGUUAAGAGGAGAGCUUAGCGUAAGCGAAGGUUUGAAUUGAAGCCCCAGUAAACGGCGGCCGUAACUAUAACGGUCCUAAGGUAGCGAAAUUCCUUGUCAGGUAAGUUCUGACCCGCACGAAAGGCGUAACGAUUUGGGCACUGUCUCAACGAGAGACUCGGUGAAAUUGUAGUACCAGUGAAGAUGCUGGUUACCCGCGACAGGACGGAAAGACCCCAUGGAGCUUUACUGCAGGUUGAUAUUGAGUGUCUGUGUGACAUGUACAGGAUAGGUAGGAGCCAUUGAAGCCGGAACGCUAGUUUCGGUGGAGGCGCUGGUGGGAUACUACCCUUGUGACAUGGCCACUCUAACCCGCGACCGUAAUCCGGUCGGGAGACAGUGUCAGUCGGGCAGUUUGACUGGGGCGGUCGCCUCCUAAAAUGUAACGGAGGCGCCCAAAGGUUCCCUCAGAAUGGUUGGAAAUCAUUCGUAGAGUGUAAAGGCAGAAGGGAGCUUGACUGCGAGACCUACAAGUCGAGCAGGGACGAAAGUCGGGCUUAGUGAUCCGGUGGUUCCGCAUGGAAGGGCCAUCGCUCAACGGAUAAAAGCUACCCUGGGGAUAACAGGCUUAUCUCCCCCAAGAGUUCACAUCGACGGGGAGGUUUGGCACCUCGAUGUCGGCUCGUCGCAUCCUGGGGCUGAAGUCGGUCCCAAGGGUUGGGCUGUUCGCCCAUUAAAGCGGCACGCGAGCUGGGUUCAGAACGUCGUGAGACAGUUCGGUCCCUAUCCGUCGUGGGCGUAGGAAAUUUGAGAGGAGCUGUCCUUAGUACGAGAGGACCGGGAUGGACGCACCGCUGGUGUACCAGUUGUUCCGCCAGGAGCAUCGCUGGGUAGCUAUGUGCGGAAGGGAUAAGCGCUGAAAGCAUCUAAGUGCGAAGCCCCCCUCAAGAUGAGAUUUCCUUUGCGUAAGCAGUAAGACACCUCAGAGACGAUGAGGUAGAUAGGCUGGGAGUGGAAGUCCUGUGAAGGAUGGAGCGGACCAGUACUAAUCAGUCGAGGGGGGCUUCGC
Molecule: ribosomal RNA, 1445 nt
Filed under: viral metagenome
Description: bacterial LSU rRNA
Rfam family: Bacterial large subunit ribosomal RNA
Source: RNAcentral